RNA transcript from Toxotes jaculatrix (banded archerfish), 2851 nucleotides. It is a transcript of the gene named transmembrane protein 42-like, with no coding region annotated. The transcript has 4 exons. The record is from RefSeq and is a predicted model, not a curated record. Lineage: Eukaryota; Metazoa; Chordata; Actinopteri; Toxotidae.
UUAACGACUCAUUUACUGCCUCAAAGGCUUGUUUUUUUCAGCUAUCCGGUCUGCUGUAAAAUAUUAAUGUUAAAGGUAGACUAGCAGACUUUUGUUGUGAAAAUUUCUACCAUGGUCUAUAUCCACUGUUUCAGUUUUGACAGAGCUUUAGUUUCACCCGAAGAACUUGUACUGUUUUGGUUUCUCCCUCUUCCAGCUAUGUUUUCAGGGUCUUUCUACGCGUUAUUGGCGGGUUUUUUGAGUGCGGCCGCCUCUUUGUCUGCCAAGCUGUCCCUCGGUGCAGACUACCUGAGAGAGAUGUGUGAGUCCAGGAUGGACAGGUGGACGGAGACGGACGGUGGAACUACAGCUUGUGACUGGCUCCACAUCCCCCUGCGGCUGCUGUGUGGAGGCCUGCUUUUUGCCUGUAAUGCCGUCAUGUGGACCUUCUUCUCCAAGGCUCUGCGACACUGCUCCUCAUCAGCCAGAGUCACGGUCACCACCACUGCGUCUAACUUCAUCUCCUCGGCUUUCCUGGGGAGGGUCAUUUUUGGAGAGACCCAUGCUGCUCUGUGGUGGGUGGGCAUGUCUCUCACUCUGUGUGGACUGCUGGUGCUUCAUGCAUCCACAUCUCAGACACAUACACAGGGGGAGGCCAGAAAGGACAAGUAAUGUGAGUCUUCAGUGAGUCUGCAGCCUCUGCUCUUCACUCAGGGUCUAAACUGGUAAAACUCCCUCAGAGACACGAUGGAACUUCUAAAGCACUUGGGAGUGAAUCUGUUCCUUAUAAGAAGAGGAAACUCAGUGUCCUGAUGUUAAGAUCAGUUAAAUAAGAUGACUGUGUUGCACAGGCCUGACAAUACAUUCAGUGCCAUCAGUUCUAGAUGCUGUGGCUGUGGUUGCUUUUCUUUCUUUGUGUUUCAGUGAGAGGCCUAUAGAAGUGAUUGUAACUGUUAAAACUCUGUGUAUUCAUGCUGCAUUUUGCAUGUCUGCAUAAUAUUGUAAAACCUGUGAGGAUGUUGAUGAAUAUUCCCAACUCCACAGCGUGGACAGAAUUUCCAUUUGCCAGUGUGGCCAAACACAUUACAUUCAGACUCCACCAAAAUGUUUGCAGUGAGAAGUGCUGAGAAAUGCUGGGAUUUUUCUGGUGAUAGUAUCAAGUACACCAAACUGGACUGGUGCGCCAUUUUUGUUUUUUUUUUUCAGUUAAAGAAGGCUGAACGCAUUCCAGCUGCUCUGCCAGGAACACUCAGGUCAUUUACUGCAGACGUUCUGGACGUGGUGUUAGUUGAGCGGUAUCUCAAUGACGUCCUCCUCAAUGAUCUCCCCCUGUGGAACGCUGACGUGCUCUGUGGGGCUCUUCUUGCAGCUCAGCCCUGUGAAGGGGCUGCACCAGGACAGAGAGAACGGGCCUCCAAACGCCAUCUGCGUGGCCUCCCAGCACGGCACCUUCGCCCACUUCCCCGUCUCACCCUUCAGACGCUCGAUUCCCUGGAGAAGACACAAUGAGGGCCGUGAGGUGAAAGGAGCCGAGCCAAAAGGACCGUAUGUUUAUCACGUACAUGCACUACAAAGCACAACUAUGACACAGAGUCGAUGACAGUACUAAAAACUGCAACAACACACUAUGGUUUAGCUUUUUUGGGGCGAGUUUCUCAGACGCAAGUGAAACUUUCCAGACUAAAUAUGAUUGGUACAGAUUGCAGCAAAUCUAGAGUCACCUGUUAGCUUAUCACCCAAUGAGGCCACAGAGGCACUGAAAAGAACCAUGUGAAUUCUGGGUACAGGGGUCGUCUUCAAAUUAAUUUGAAUAAAUCAUUGCCCUUGAAAAUCCCCACUUGAUUUGGCUGAAGCUUCAUAUUAACUUCAGCUAAAAUUUGGACAAACAGCUUGAUAAGUGUAAGAAAUUAAUGCUUACAGUGAAUUUUACAGUUUGCAUGUGAGCACUGUAUUAGCAAAGACUUUAUUAAAAAAAAAAAAAAAAAAAAUCCAACCCAAUUAAGAAUGCUCUCGUAUCAGGUCUGAAUCACUUGCUUUCUAAGAAACAAGCCACAGAUUUACUAAAACACUGCGCCAAAUGAGUCACAUGAGCUUUGAGAAAAGAAAUAAUAAAUAAUAAACCCCUAUGGAGGAAGCACACGUCAAAUGUUCAGAAACAGCGCAUGCAUCACUCAUUCAUUCAUAAUGUUUGGUUGAAUCUGAAACAGCAAAAAAAAAAAAAAAAAAAAAAUUUUAACUAAAAAAAAAAAAAAAAAAAGAAGAAGAAACGAAAGUGCACGUUGGCCCUCUGACCCGAUAUCUGCAUGCUCAUGAUGUGUUAAGCUUUGAUGCGACGGCUAAUGUGACCUCUGUGUUUCAAGCUUACCUCCGUCAAGGUUAUAAAGAGCUGUCUGCUUCAGAGAGCUUUCGGCAGAGUGAGUUAUCAACCAAAGCAAAAUGCAUGAGUGUGGAGAAGAACAUUGCGUGGGAGAGAGGGAGGGAGGGAGACUACACAGUGAGAGGAGAAUGGAAGAUGAGGACAGAGGGAAAAUGGAACAAUGAAAAAAAACAACUAUGCAGGGGAAGUAGAAACCUUUUUUAAACAUUAUUUGAACAUUGAAAAACAUAUUUGACCAUAGUAAGUACAACAAAUACACCACCCCCCCCCACAAAAAAAGCCAGCAAACACAGUUUUUGCAUUGCAACUGAGAAGUAUUUAUUCUCUGCGCAUGUGCUGAAAUAUCUUCAGAAUAUUUAGAAAGAAUUCAAAUUUCUGUAAAAAACAAAAAAAACCCCAAAACAAACAAAUCGUCUCAACCAUUACUCUGCACCAUCGUACCAGCAGUGUUUCACAUACAUCACUAAACCAGCCCUCAGCGGUACCAUGCAUUCA